CCUGCCAGUCCUCCCCUUGGUGGCCAGAGGAUCCAUAUGAGGAGAAGCCAGCAGGAUGCACGACCCUCCCAGCACCAAUCUCAAGAGAAAGAAAUUCCUUCCUCCCCUUCUGAAAACUCACCUCUUCCACUCAUGUCCUCCACCUCAUCAAUCAGGGUCUCACUUUCUCCGUCCUGGAUGCCAGCACAUCAAUCCAGCACACCACAGUCAAUCAACAGGAGAGGAAACAGGAUUCACUUCUGAAAGUGGGAAUUGCAAGACACAAGGGCUGAAGAUGAUAAAGCAGAGAAGAAAUGAUGGAACGGUCACAGCAUUCAGCACUUUUUAGACAGCCGGUACUCACCUGUUCAGCCUGCAGGUUGGCUCCAGGAAAGCAGGUUUGGAAUGGUUUGGAAGGUCUUCAGUCUGCUCCCCACUCCUCUGAUCCCCUCAUCUGCUCAGGGCUGGACUGAGCUUGCCCAGUAUUUCCAGUUUGUGUGAGCAGGGCACAGUCCAGAGGGCUGGAUGGCCUGGAGAACAGAGCUGGGAGUCUGUCUGGGUACCACCCCACUGAGCUUCUACCUCCCCUCCUCUGGGCAAUGACCUGCUAUGCCCUGAAGCUGCCAGCCCACGUGGGACCUCAUCCAACACCUCAUCCAAUUUGGCAAUUCCUCCUGUUCCUGCAGUGCCCAGUCCUGUUUACAUCACAGGGUCUACUGCUUCUCUGCUCCCUUGGCCCAGCUGCAGGUAGGUGAUAAGAGCCCCUGAGUGCUGGAGGAGUCUGUAUCUCCCUGUGCAGGUCGCUCAGAGACCUCCUGGGCCACGGCACCACAGGUAUCUCCAGCCCUUUGGGAUGGCACCUGGGGACACCAGAUGCAGAGCAGUGGCCCAUGCUCUGCAUGUCAAGGUUGCAUUCUGUGAAAAGGGGAAGUCUGGCUCCUGUCCUGGCUGUUUGCCCAGUUUUGUCCUGCUGCAUGGGUUCAUAGUGGAGAUGUUUGCAGGGCAUGUGCCACCUUGACUGCUCAACUGGUAAAUGGCAUGUGCUGGGCUUUGUAUUUCACCACCUCUCUGUUCUCCAGGCAACUCUUCAUGUGUCGAGGGAUGAUGGCCUUAUUCCCAGUCCCAGGGAACACAAGGCAUUCCACUCUUCUGUGUCACAUCACUCUGGAAGGCACCAGCUGAGCACAAAUAAAGCAGAAUGCAAGG
Cyanistes caeruleus (blue tit) is the source of this 1185-nucleotide non-coding RNA. NCBI's taxonomy places the organism in Eukaryota, Metazoa, Chordata, Aves, Passeriformes, Paridae. The record is from RefSeq and is a predicted model, not a curated record.